This 279-nucleotide ribosomal RNA is filed under the name uncultured bacterium. RNAcentral describes it as "partial 16S ribosomal RNA". It matches the Rfam family "Bacterial small subunit ribosomal RNA", at positions 506 to 784 of the family's 1533-position model. The record is from RNAcentral.
UGCCAGCAGCCGCGGUAACACGUACUGUGCGAACGUUAUUCGGAAUCACUGGGCUUAAAGGGUACGUAGGCGGCCUAUCAAGUCAGGUGUGAAAUCCCACGGCUCAACCGUGGAACUGCGCUUGGAACUGAUAGGCUUGAGUGAGACAGGGGUGUGUGGAACUUCUAGUGGAGCGGUGAAAUGCGUUGAUAUUAGAAGGAACACCGGUGGCGAAGGCGACACACUGGGUCUUAACUGACGCUGAGGUACGAAAGCUAGGGGAGCGAACGGGAUUAGAUA